Molecule: ribosomal RNA, 522 nt
Filed under: uncultured bacterium
Lineage: Bacteria
Description: bacterial SSU rRNA
Rfam family: Bacterial small subunit ribosomal RNA
Source: RNAcentral
UGGGGAAUAUUGCACAAUGGGGGAAACCCUGAUGCAGCGACGCCGCGUGAGCGAAGAAGGUUUUCGAAUCGUAAAGCUCUGUCCUAUGAGAAGAUAAUGACGGUAUCAUAGGAGAAAGCCCCGGCUAAAUACGUGCCAGCAGCCGCGGUAAUACGUAGGGGGCUAGCGUUAUCCGGAUUUACUGGGCGUAAAGGGUGCGUAGGUGGUCCUUCAAGUCGGUGGUUAAAGGCUACGGCUCAACCGUAGUAAGCCGCCGAAACUGGAGGACUUGAGUGCAGGAGAGGAAAGUGGAAUUCCCAGUGUAGCGGUGAAAUGCGUAGAUAUUGGGAGGAACACCAGUAGCGAAGGCGGCUUUCUGGACUGCAACUGACACUGAGGCACGAAAGCGUGGGUAGCAAACAGGAUUAGAUACCCUGGUAGUCCACGCUGUAAACGAUGAGUACUAGGUGUCGGGGGUUACCCCCCUCGGUGCCGCAGCUAACGCAUUAAGUACUCCGCCUGGGGAGUACGCACGCAAGUGUG